This 80-nucleotide transfer RNA is filed under the name Streptomyces mashuensis. RNAcentral describes it as "tRNA-Val". Lineage: Bacteria; Bacillati; Actinomycetota; Actinomycetes; Kitasatosporales; Streptomycetaceae. The record is from RNAcentral.
GCAGGGCGAGCCGCCGGACCGCCUCCUCCUUCACACGGAGGGCGAUCGCGUCCUUGGGAUCGUUGGUUAAGUUCUGCUCC